CCUACGGGAGGCUGCAGUGGGGAAUAUUGGACAAUGGGGGGAACCCUGAUCCAGCGACGCCGCGUGAGUGAAGAAGUAUUUCGGUAUGUAAAGCUCUAUCAGCAGGGAAGAAAAUGACGGUACCUGACUAAGAAGCCCCGGCUAACUACGUGCCAGCAGCCGCGGUAAUACGUAGGGGGCAAGCGUUAUCUGGAUUUACUGGGUGUAAAGGGAGCGUAGACGGUGCAGCAAGUCUGAUGUGAAAGGUCGGGGCCCAACCCCGGGACUGCAUUGGAAACUGUUGAACUGGAGUACAGGAGAGGUAAGCGGAAUUCCUAGUGUAGCGGUGAAAUGCGUAGAUAUUAGGAGGAACACCAGUGGCGAAGGCGGCUUACCGGCGCUCAACUGACGCUCAUGCACGAAAGUGUGGGUAUCGAACAGGAUUAGAUACCCGGGUAGUC
RNAcentral lists this ribosomal RNA (440 nucleotides) under uncultured bacterium. Its description in RNAcentral is "partial 16S ribosomal RNA". It matches the Rfam family "Bacterial small subunit ribosomal RNA", at positions 338 to 795 of the family's 1533-position model. The record is from RNAcentral.